UACGGGGGGGGCAAGCGUUGUUCGGAAUUACUGGGCGUAAAGGGCUCGUAGGCGGCCAACUAAGUCGGACGUGAAAUCCCCAGGCUCAACCUGGGAACUGCGUCUGAUACUGGAUGGCUUGAAUCCGGGAGAGGGAUGCAGAAUUCCAGGUGUAGCGGUGAAAUGCGUAGAUAUCUGGAGGAACACCGGUGGCGAAGGCGGCAUCCUGGACCGGUAUUGACGCUGAGGAGCGAAAGCCAGGGGAGCAAACGGG
Molecule: ribosomal RNA, 253 nt
Filed under: uncultured bacterium
Lineage: Bacteria
Description: partial 16S ribosomal RNA
Rfam family: Bacterial small subunit ribosomal RNA
Source: RNAcentral